UCUGCUUGUCUGGCCAGAUGACGGAGCAGAGGUUGGUGAGGACCAGCGUGCCCAGUCGGCGGGCGCCUUUCUCCGGUCCGCUGUAGUAGUCGAGGGAGUCCUGGCUCAGCACAAACCAGUACCGACGCUGCUUGAUCCAGUUCCCUCGCACCUCCCACAGAUCCAGAUAGACUCGGCUGCAGUUUACUGGAGCAUGAGAAGCAGCGCAUCAUGUGAGGAGUGAUAUUAACUGUAAAUCAACAAAGGUCGGUGAAACUUAACAUUCACGGUGUUGCCUCGGCCGCGAAGUAACUCCAAGAGCUGCGUGAGCGCAUACAGCAUACCCUCUCCAUAGAGAUCCAGCCAGGAGGAGGAGGAG
Molecule: long non-coding RNA, 358 nt
Organism: Amphiprion ocellaris (clown anemonefish)
Lineage: Eukaryota; Metazoa; Chordata; Actinopteri; Pomacentridae
Exons: 3
Source: RefSeq, a predicted model, not a curated record